This 310-nucleotide long non-coding RNA is filed under the name Brassica napus (rape). RNAcentral describes it as "long non-coding RNA (BNAP_LNC004683)". The record is from RNAcentral. Lineage: Eukaryota; Viridiplantae; Streptophyta; Magnoliopsida; Brassicales; Brassicaceae.
GUGGGGAAGAGAAGGAAAAAGGGGGUGUUAUUUUCAUUAAAUCUAUAGUAACAAAGAGAGUACGUUUUUCUUCUAUCAGUAGUGAGAAUAAAUGAAAAGAACUAUAAUUUCACCUGAUUAACAACUUCUUGGAAUAGUUAAGAAAAUGACAAACAGUCAUUGUAAUUUGGGUUAAAAAUGCUACCCAGUCAAAGACCAUAUGUUUGAGUAUGAGCCAAAAUUAUUUAGUUUUCGAGAUUUUUUCAUAUCCAUAAAUUUCACCAGCUGAUUAACCGACCGAACUUAACAAUAUUUCAAACCAACCCGCUUG